GAUGAAGAACGUAGCGAAAUGCGAUACGUAAUGUGAAUUGCAGAAUUCAGUGAAUCAUCGAAUCUUUGAACGCACAUUGCGCCUGCCAGCACUCUGGCAGGCAUGCCUGUUCGAGCGUCAUUUCAACCAUCAAGCCCUAGGCUUGCGUUGGAGCCCUGCGGCUGCCGCAGGCCCCUAAAAGCAGUGGCGGGCUCGCUAUCACACCGAGUGCAGUAGAUUACUCUUCGCUCAGGGCGUGUGGCGGGUUCCAGCCGUGAAACCCCCUACUUCUCUAGGUUGACCUCGGAUCAGGUAGGAAUACCCGCUGAACUUAAGCAUAUCAAUAAGCGGAGGA
RNAcentral lists this unclassified non-coding RNA (334 nucleotides) under soil metagenome. RNAcentral describes it as "partial contains 5.8S ribosomal RNA, internal transcribed spacer 2, and large subunit ribosomal RNA". The stretch from base 1 to 120 matches the Rfam family "5.8S ribosomal RNA", at positions 35 to 154 of the family's 154-position model. The record is from RNAcentral.